UCCGUAGGUGAACCUGCGGAAGGAUCAUUGUCGAGAAACCCAUAAGUGUUCGAUCGACCGGAGAAAUUCGUGUGAUGAUGCGUCGUCAGUUGUCGCGCAUUACUCCAUCUCGUGUGCUCGCGUCUUGAUGCGUGUCAUGCGGGGUUGGAGAUAUUUUUUUUGGGCAUCGAUAAGUGCCAAGGAAUAGUUUGCAAAGCGGUCUAUUGCGCAUCUGAUGCUUUGAUGCGUGACAAAAUAAGACAUUGAAAGACUCUCGGCAACGGAUAUCUUGGCUCUUGCAUCGAUGAAGAACGCAGCGAAAUGCGAUAUGUGUUGUGAAUUGCAGAAUCCCGUGAACCAUCCAGUCUUUGAACGCAAGUCGCGCCCAAGGUUGCACGCCGAGGGCACGUCUGCAUGGGUGUGAUGCGUUAAGUCGCUCUCGCAGGAAACCACCCUUCUUGGUGCCUCGGUGCCUGUUUGGAGGCGAGCGGUGGCUCCCCGUGCUGUUGCAUGGUGAGUUGAAGUGCUGGCUGAUGUUUGGCUCCUGAUGCUCUAAGAGGUGGAAGUUGCACAAAGCGUUGUGCAGGCGUCCAGUCGAGCUUGACGUUGCAGCCCGUCAUGAAUGCGAUAUUUUAAAUCCAACUCCACGCACCUGUGUUUGGAUCGUCACCCCAUGUCAGGUGAGGCUACCCGCUGA
This 676-nucleotide unclassified non-coding RNA is filed under the name Lecanorchis virella. RNAcentral's name for it is "partial contains 18S rRNA, ITS1, 5.8S rRNA, ITS2 and 28S RNA". The stretch from base 249 to 403 matches the Rfam family "5.8S ribosomal RNA". Lineage: Eukaryota; Viridiplantae; Streptophyta; Magnoliopsida; Asparagales; Orchidaceae. The record is from RNAcentral.